Molecule: microRNA, 20 nt
Filed under: Gallid alphaherpesvirus 2
Lineage: Duplodnaviria; Heunggongvirae; Peploviricota; Herviviricetes; Herpesvirales; Orthoherpesviridae
Description: mdv1-miR-M1-5p
Gene: mdv1-miR-M1-5p
Source: miRBase by way of RNAcentral
UGCUUGUUCACUGUGCGGCA